Molecule: RNA transcript, 4175 nt
Organism: Boleophthalmus pectinirostris (great blue-spotted mudskipper)
Lineage: Eukaryota; Metazoa; Chordata; Actinopteri; Gobiiformes; Gobiidae
Gene name: arylsulfatase B
Exons: 11
Source: RefSeq, a predicted model, not a curated record
GUAAGAGAAAGCGGAAGUUUCGAAGGAUUCGCAGUACUACCAAUUUCUGUAUUAUAGUACUUCGAAGUCAGUAUCUAUUGUGGUUGCUUUUGGGGAAUAUGGUGACGUAUGGUUAAAUUGCUGGUCCUCUAGUGCUAACCUACAUGUCUCCUCUUUACCUUGUGCUUCUGCUGUUUGAAAGUCUUCGAGAAAUAUGCCGUUUCCUCAGUACUUCUGCAUUCUUCUCAAUAUCUUUAUAGUCAGCGGUUUUCUAAAUGGGUUUACGGCGGUUUCAGCAGCAAAGCAGCCUCAUAUAGUUUUAAUUCUGGCUGACGAUUUUGGUUGGUAUGAUGUUGGCUACCACGGCUCUGAGAUUAAAACACCAAAUUUAGACCAACUAUCCGCGAGUGGUGUCCGAUUGGAGAACUAUUAUGUUCAGCCCAUUUGUACUCCAUCCAGGAACCAACUAAUGACGGGGAGAUACCAGAUUCGCACAGGAUUGCAGCAUCAGAUCAUAUGGCCCUGUCAGCCAUACUGUGUCCCACUGGAUGAGACAUUACUGCCACAGCUGAUGGGAAAAGCAGGUUACUCUACACAUAUGGUUGGCAAGUGGCACCUGGGCAUGUACAAAAAAGACUGUCUUCCUACCCAGAGGGGUUUUCACUCAUACUUUGGAUAUCUAACUGGCGGUGAGACUUACUAUGACCAUGUCCGCUGUUUUCCAAUAUCCUCUUUGAAUAUAACCCGGUGUGCUCUGGACUUCAGAGAGGGAGAGGAGGCUACCGCUGCUUAUAAAGGAGCUUAUUCCACUGAGCUUUUCAGUGAAAGAGCCUCCAGUAUUAUACAAACACACAAAUCCGAUAAGCCACUGUUCCUCUAUGUUGCGCUGCAAGCAGUCCACUCACCUUUGCAAGUUCCCCAGCGCUACCUGACGCCCUACAGUUUCAUCAAAGACCAUAAUCGACGAAUCUAUGCUGGCAUGGUGUCUGCUAUGGACGAGGCUGUGGGCAACAUUACCUCGGCCCUUAAACAAAGUGGGCUUUGGGAAAACACUGUGCUUGUCUUUUCAACGGAUAACGGUGGUCAGACCUUGUCUGGUGGCAGCAACUGGCCCCUAAGAGGAAGGAAAGUAACCCUGUGGGAAGGUGGUGUCCGAGGAGUGGGCUUUGUUGCUAGUCCACUAAUAAAUCGACCAGGUCGUGUAAGUCGUGAGCUUAUCCACAUCUCUGACUGGCUGCCCACACUAGUGGCUCUGGCUGGUGGCUCGACUAACUCCACUAAACCACUGGAUGGAUUCAAUGUCUGGAACACUAUCAGCGAAGGCCAUGCCUCUCCCAGACUGGAGCUCCUGCACAACAUUGACCCUUUAUUUGGUGACCCUUCUCCAUGCCCUGGCAGCAAAAGAAAGUUAACUUUGGCUCAGGUGGACAGUGGAAACUCCUGGGCUCACUCUGGCUUCAAUGUAUCCAUUCACGCAGCUAUUCGAUGGUCAAACUGGAAACUGCUAACUGGCUAUCCAGGUUGUGAUGCUUGGUUCCCUCAACCUGACAGUAAUAAUUCUGAGUCCCAAAUCCUUGAUCUGCACCCACUGAAGCCAGUCAUGCUAUUUGAUGUUGAGAAUGAUCCAGAGGAAAGGACUGAGUUAUCUGCUAAGUUCCCUACAGUUGUUGACUAUCUUCUUGGUCGACUCAACGUUUACCAGAAACAGGCAUUACCAGUAAACUACCCUGAUGAUGAUCCAAAGUGUGACCCAGGCCCUGGUGGAGCCUGGGGACCAUGGGCCUAGAAAGAUAUUAUCUAAUGAAGAAUGCAUGUCCUGAUCUGCAGCUGACCACCACAAUGUGUUAACCCGGCAUUAUCACCACAGAAUGGACCUGCCCUUAUUACUGUGACAUGCCUAAUAUUACGCAAGUCGGAGAAAACGUGCCACUAUCACCGAGAGGAAAAAAGUAGAAGGGCAACGCUGACAGCACCGAAGUAAACUACCACCGCCUCACAUCUAACGGAUCCAUAACUUUCUGGAAUUAAAGUAGAUUACAGCCUUUUCAGCCAGAGUCAGAAAGCAGCGAGCGCGAGAGCCAAUACAUGUUUGGAUCACCAUGGGACCAAGAGCCUACUCCCAAGAAAUGAAUGAAGUGCACAGAUGACGAAGCGCCUGAUUCAACUUCCAAGGCCACACCGCAGUCAACAUGGUCAACUGAACCAUCUAAAACCAGUCCACCAGGAAUGGCAAAGCUUCCACAGGUUGAGCAGAAUUCUGGUGGUCAAGCUUGUGGGGACUGUCCAUGCUGCCGUGACCUCAGCCAGAAAAUCCAAAAGCUUCGGGACCGACUGUGGGUUUAUGAGGAUGUGCCUACUGAUACUGAUGACGAAUAAGACAUACAUGUUCUGAGUUCUGGGUUGUUAGAUAUCUUGUAACACACCCUGUUGAUUCAUUCUUGUUCAUUCUUCAUGUUUGGGAGCUUUAGCUGCUGGAAUAAAACAUAGUACAUGGUCACUGUAUACUCGUGCCAUUGUGUCAAAUGCGAAUGUUCAAGAUACAAUAAAAAAUUGAAGGAGCUUCAUAAAAUACAUCUGUUUGGUACCAUUUGGUAACACUUUUUUUUUUUAUCACUACCCACAUGCCAUUAAUUACAUGUGAAAAUUGGACCAUGUUGCGUUUUCUUGUUUUUAACAGGACCCUCACACAUAACCUAUUUAAAAUUUUAAACAUUUGGUGAUUUCUUUUAACAGUCCUAGUACAUAUCUUGAUUCUCAAAAAAAUUAAGGCUCUACUACUCCUAGAAGUAGGUUUACAAAGGGGCUAAAAAUGGUACGCCACAGAAAUGAACACGUUUGUUUCAUUUUUAGGUUCAUAUAAAAUGACAAUGAGUUGAGAAACCAAACUUUCAAUUGAUGUUAUUUGAACACAGAUUGGAGGAGUACAAGCCUACAAAAUUGCAGCCCUCUAUGUGUGAUACUUACGGAGAUAUCGACCUGUGAAAACGGUUUCAGAAUUUUUAAAAAACAUGAUGCGUGAGAUUUUCUGGAAAUUUGAUGAAAUGGCAUGGAAUGACGCAUUUUCAGUUUUGGCCUGGUCUAGUCAAUUAUUUUAUUUGUAGUUCCCCUAUCACCAUAAAAACCCUGAUCUGGUUGAAAUUGCCGGUUUGUUAUUGAUCAUAUUGUUUUUUUGUAGCCUCUGUGUAACCAGUCCUCCAUUCUGCAGCAUAUUGCUUUAAUAAAAGUGACACAGGCCAUAUAUAAAGGCUGACCCAGUUACCGUCUCACUCAAAAUGCAACUGUAUUUUUCGUCUUGUUCUUGGUGAACGCCUUCCCUUUAGCCCACCAUCUGCCUAAUGGCCUGUGCAGCUGGAAAUUGAUUUACUAAUCUUAGUCUUCACAGAUAAGGCUGACUUGUGCUCUACUGGUCCACUUAAGUACUUUGCCUCUGAAAAUUCAUAGAAUCACAUUCAGAGUUUAUUUACUACUGCUAUGUUUUCUGCUAGUGAAUACAUCUUUCUUUAUAUAAUCUAUAUUUUUUGUGCAUUUGAUGUGCAUUUGUUGUUGUGACUCCUUCAUUCUGGGCUCACUCAAAUAACAGGGUCUCCUGCUUAGGUCAGUCUUUGAGAGGGAAGAAUGCAGCAAAUUAGGUAUUUCUUUGUUUGCUGUUGUCAUUUGAGGCUGUCCGUGGCAGCUAAGUGGUAUUUGCCAUCUGAAGACAGCAGGGAUUACUCUUGUCUCCCUCUGCAAAGCCUGGGACAAGGGGGUAAACAUAGGCUCAAAAACAAGUUAAAAUGAGUGUAAUGGUAGUGCUGAAAUAGGAGCACAUGAUGCAUGAAGAAAUGACAGCUUUAAACAAGUAAGGUUUGAAAGGCCCGGAGUAUCAGACGUAAUGUUUGGCAGUUAACUGGGACAUGCCUGGGUCAAACAUCUGUGAUCCAUUUCUCAGGCUUGGAGCUGCCUCUUUCUCUUUGUCUUUCUACUUAAAACUGUGCCUUAUACUCACUUAGUGAUACAUUUACAUUUAAGUACUAGACGGUUACUGCUUAUUUUUUUAUCACAAUGUUCAUUUGCAUCAAGGUAUUUCAUAUUUCACAUGCUUUUAUAUAUGCAAACAUUUAUUAUAGCAAAACUGUCACUCAUUUUCAGUCACCCUGUUACCCUAAUAACAUGGAUUUAAACACGAUUUUUAUUUUUAAAUAAAUAUUUAAAAGUCA